GGGUUCUACGGUCGGUCGGACUAUGUCUGUACUGGCGUGUAGAAUUUCUACCUUCUGGGGAACCAUCAUGUUAUUAAUUUAGCGUGGUGGGAAACCAGAACUUUUACCUUGAAAAAAUUAGAGUGUUCAAAGCAGGCUUACGUCUGAAUACAUUAGCAUGGAAUAAUAGAAUAGGACGGUGGUCCUGUUUUGUUGGUUUCUGAAUCACCGUA
Molecule: ribosomal RNA, 212 nt
Filed under: Scutellospora sp. Early-31
Lineage: Eukaryota; Fungi; Glomeromycota; Glomeromycetes; Diversisporales; Gigasporaceae
Description: partial small subunit ribosomal RNA
Rfam family: Eukaryotic small subunit ribosomal RNA (bases 38-212)
Source: RNAcentral